RNAcentral lists this ribosomal RNA (500 nucleotides) under uncultured bacterium. RNAcentral describes it as "partial 16S ribosomal RNA". It matches the Rfam family "Bacterial small subunit ribosomal RNA", at positions 30 to 523 of the family's 1533-position model. The record is from RNAcentral.
AUUGAACGCUGGCGGCAUGCCUUACACAUGCAAGUCGAACGGGCUUUUGGGGCUUGCUCCAAAAGUUAGUGGCGAACGGGUGAGUAAUAUAUCGGAACGUGCCCUAGAGUGGGGGACAACAAGUCGAAAGAUUGGCUAAUACCGCAUACGAUCUAAGGAUGAAAGUGGGGGACCUUCGGGCCUUCUGCUCCUGGAGCGGCCGAGAACUGUUUAGCUAGUUGGUGGGGUAAAGGCCCACCAAGGCGACGAUCAGUAGCUGGUCUGAGAGGACGAUCAGCCACACUGGGACUGAGACACGGCCCAGACUCCUACGGGAGGCAGCAGUGGGGAAUUUUGGACAAUGGGCGCAAGCCUGAUCCAGCAAUGCCGCGUGAGUGAAGAAGGCCUUCGGGUUGUAAAGCUCUUUUGUCAGGGAAGAAACGGUGGGGGCUAAUAUCCUCUGCUAAUGACGGUACCUGAAGAAUAAGCACCGGCUAACUACGUGCCAGCCGCCGCGGUAA